RNAcentral lists this ribosomal RNA (295 nucleotides) under uncultured bacterium. RNAcentral describes it as "partial 16S ribosomal RNA". It matches the Rfam family "Bacterial small subunit ribosomal RNA", at positions 333 to 642 of the family's 1533-position model. The record is from RNAcentral.
GAUGUCCUACGGGACGCAGCAGUGGGGAAUAUUGGGCAGUGGGCGCAAGCCUGACCCAGCAACGCCGCGUGAAGGAAGAAGGCUUUCGGGUUGUAAACUUCUUUUGUCAGGGACGAAGCAAGUGACGGUACCUGACGAAUAAGCCACGGCUAACUACGUGCCAGCAGCCGCGGUAAUACGUAGGUGGCAAGCGUUAUCCGGAUUUAUUGGGUGUAAAGUGCGUGUAGGCGGGAAUGCAAGUCAGAUGUGACAACUAUGGGCUCAACCCAUAGCCUUCAUUUGAAACUGUAUUUCU